UUGGUCAAUGGCCGAAAGGCUGAACCAGUAACUUGGAAGAAUGUAAAUGUAUUUGUAUAAAUACAAUAGCGAUUAAUUCGCAUAAAAUUCUAAAUAGGUUGUAUAUAAUGACAUAAUCUAUUUAUAAGUCUUGACCAAACUACGUGCCAGCAGUCGCGGUAAUACGUAGAAGGCUAGUGUUAGUUAUCUUUAUUGGGUUUAAAGGGUAUGUAGACGGUAAAUUAAACUUUAAAAGAGUACUUUUUUACUAGAGUUAUAUAUGAGAAGGAAGAAUUUCUGGAGUAGAGAUAAAAUUUUUUGAUACCAGGAGGACUGUCAACGGCGAAGGCGUCCUUCUAUGUAAUAACUGACGUUGAGAGACGAAGGCUUGGGUAGCAAACAGGAUUAGAUACCCUAAUAGUCCAAGCAGACAAUGAUGAAUGUCAUACAUUAGAGAAGAUUUAAUGUAUAAACGAAAGUGUAAGCAUUCCACCUCAAGAGUACUAUGGCAACAUAUAAACUGAAAUCAUUAGACCGGUUCUGAAACCAGUAGUGAAGUAU
Molecule: ribosomal RNA, 540 nt
Filed under: Penicillium rolfsii
Lineage: Eukaryota; Fungi; Ascomycota; Eurotiomycetes; Eurotiales; Aspergillaceae
Description: SSU rRNA
Rfam family: Bacterial small subunit ribosomal RNA
Source: RNAcentral